This is a long non-coding RNA of Myodes glareolus (Bank vole), 393 nucleotides long. RefSeq lists it as uncharacterized. NCBI's taxonomy places the organism in Eukaryota, Metazoa, Chordata, Mammalia, Rodentia, Cricetidae. The record is from RefSeq and is a predicted model, not a curated record.
AGUCCUGGCUGGGGCAGCCCUUCCAGCUCCUGGUUCUGCUUCAAUUCCCUCAUCCUGCGGAGAGACAAAGAGGAGUCAGAGGAGAGUGCGGAGGAAAGGUGGCAGGGCAGAGAUCCCGUGAGCUGCGGCCACCUCCUGCUGCUCCUUCAACCUCCGGCCCUAAGGAAAGAAAAUGAGGCCAAAUCUCAACAUCUCACUGCCCACCUCGUAGACUCUGGACCUACUCCUUCCUCCCGAAGUCCCCUCCUUACAAAAUGUUUAUUUCACAUUUAUUUAUUUGUGUGUGUAUAUGGGCAUGCCUGUGUGUGGACAUCAGAGGACAGCUUGAGGGAGUCAGCUCUCUUCCACUAUGAAUUCCAGGGACAAAAUUAAAGUUGUCAGACUUGGUGGCAA